Molecule: ribosomal RNA, 408 nt
Filed under: uncultured bacterium
Lineage: Bacteria
Description: bacterial SSU rRNA
Rfam family: Bacterial small subunit ribosomal RNA
Source: RNAcentral
GGGCCCGCACAAGCGGUGGAGCAUGUGGCUUAAUUCGAUGCAACGCGCAGAACCUUACCAGUCCUUGACAUGGGUAGUUUGGAUAUUGGAGACAAUUUCCUUCAGUUCGGCUGGCUACCACACAGGUGCUGCAUGGCUGUCGUCAGCUCGUGUCGUGAGAUGUUGGGUUAAGUCCCGCAACGAGCGCAACCCUCAUCUUUAGUUGCCAUCGGUUCGGCCGGGCACUCUAGAGAAACUGCCUGCGAUGAGCAGGAGGAAGGCGGGGAUGACGUCAAGUCCUCAUGGCCCUUAUGGACUGGGCUACACACGUGCUACGAUGGCGGUGACAAUGGGCAGCGAGAGGGCGACCUUGAGCAAAUCCCCAAAAACCGUCCCAGUUCGGAUUGUACUCUGCAACUCGAGUGCAUG